CAAGAUGGCGGAGCAGAAGGACGCUCGGAGCUCACCCUCUCCCACAGAUACACCAAGAGCAACAUCCACGGACACACCCGUUGACUCAGAAUGCCUGCCAAACUUUGACAGAACAUCACCUUCUUCAAAAGACAAAAUUCGUCACAAAUCUGGCUUUAAGGAGACAGCUAGAACAGGAAAGGCUGCAGUGAGUGCCUGAAGGCAAGAGAGGACCAGAAUGUGUCUCUGGGCUGCUGGACAAGGUGUCACUGAGAAGACGGCCGCUGAGCACAGACCUGAAGGAGUUCUCUGUCAUAGGAUUGGAAGGGACCUCUAGACAUUAGAUCAUCACUUCUGAUUGAAGCAGGACAGAUUUUCACUGUGCCAGACUGGAAGGCAUCUAUCAACAGUGUCCCGGAAAGGAGAUUUACAGGUCUCCCUUGGAAACCUGUUCCAGUGCCAGUGUUCCUAAUCCCAUAAUUCAAAGCUGGCCUCCAAGAUCCCCUGCCUGUUUGGUGUGCACACCUCCGUCAUCCCUGGGACUACGUGUAUGAUGAAUGCACUACUCCUGCUCAGGUCAUGUUAUGUGCCAGGCAACCUGAAGACAGAGAGAGCAUCCAGUUACAUUAUAAACCCACAGAGGACCGAUGUCUCACUGUUUUAUGGCUCCAACAGUGAUACGGAGCAACACCAGUGUGGCUGGCUGACUAAUGGCUCCAAGAUACGCCGAGCUCAAACUCCAGGAUCAGUGUUACCUGAUACAGCAAAAAGGACUUGCAGAUGUUACUAAGGAUCUUGAGACGGGGAGAUGAGCCUGGACUACCUGGGCAGACCCUGCGUGUAGUCAUAGGGUCUCAAAAAGGUAGGUAGAGAUGUGAUUACCAUAGAGAAUAAGGAAAUGUGAUCACAGAAGCAGAGAACAGAGUGAUGAGCUCAGGAGCCCAGGAGGGCUGGAGCAGCCACGAGGGGGGGAGGCAAGGAACACACUCUCCCGGAGCCUCCAGAAGGAACCCGUCUUGCUGACUCCUUCAUUUUAUCCCACUUGUCUCAUUUUGAACUUCUAACUUCCAGAAACACAGAGAUAUGAAUCUGUGCUGUUUUGAGCCUCUAAAUUUGUGUUGCAAUGUCAACAGCGAACUACUAUAUAUAUACUCAGAUAUAAUUAAGUAUAUAGUAGUAUCUAAUAACCAUUUAAUUACCUUUUGGACUUCAAGCCAGGGUAGGGACUUUGGGCAAGAUCUCGUCUACCAUUCUGCAAACACCAGUAGAUUCUUUCUCAUCACCUGCUGAACUUGAAAUAAAAGUAGUAUACUCUACUUAGUUAAAAUGCAAUAUAAUUUAUGUUAGAACGGAAAUUUUUUCUUGAAUCAUUUCCCCAUUUCUGUAUUGACUGAUGGUAUUUAGACAGACAAUAGACUCAGUUUACAAUGUGUUUAUUACUAAAAAACAAUGCUUAAAAUUAUAUACAUGGAAAAGGGGAGGCAAUAGACUAUAUUUUGCUAGUCUUGCAGUUUAUUCUUCAAUCUCUAUUACUUUAUUUUCUUUCCAUUCUUACGGUGUCGCCCAGAUUAGCAUAGGACCUUUCUAUUAUAAAAAAUAAUUUUCUUGGAAUGAUGGUGUUUUAAUUAAUAUUUCAGAAAGCAUAUACUUUGUCUUUUCUAAAAAUGGGAAUGAUUUAUGUAUGAGCAAAUGUUUGAUGAGAACAUAGAAGAUAAAUGAUCCCAUCUGAACAACAGCUUUUUUUGAGACAUGUACAUCCCUGAUGUCACUUUAUUAUCUGGAUGGCCACAUAGAGCCAGAAAACGUACCAUGUGUGGCAGGCCUCACUGCACUGACAACCAAAGGCCUCACUGCAUGAUGUUUAUAAAAACUGAAGGUUUUGAUAUAUUUUAUUCAAACUCUGUUAUGAGAUCAACUGUGUCUGCUCAAAACUCGUAUGUUGAAGCCUUAACCUCCAGGACCUAAGACUGACUGUAUUUGGAGACAGGACCUUUAAAAAGCUAAAGUUAAAAUGAGGACUUUACAAUGGGCCCUAAUAUGAUCUGAAUGGUGUCUUUUUAAGAAGAGGAGAUUAGGACACAUAGAGAGACACCAAGGGGGCACACACACAGAGGGAAGACAGUGCCGAGACAGCAGGUGGGUGGCCAGCCAUGUGCAAAUCAAGGAGAGGGGCAUCAGGAAACCAGUCCUGCUGGCACCCUGAUCGUGGACUUCUAGGCUCCAGCACUGUGAACAAAUAAACUUCUAUUGUUCCAGUCUAUGGUAAUUUGUUAUGGGAACCCUAGCAAACGAAUACAGAAUCAUAAGAUACUUUAUGUGUUAUUCCAGCAAUGAUAAAUUUCACUAAUAUACAUGUCGUCUUUUCUUAAAUCUCUAGGUGUUCACAGUUCAUCUAGUCAGAAUGUCAGCAGAUUUUUUUUUAAUUGAAGU
Vicugna pacos (alpaca) is the source of this 2409-nucleotide non-coding RNA. NCBI's taxonomy places the organism in Eukaryota, Metazoa, Chordata, Mammalia, Artiodactyla, Camelidae. The record is from RefSeq and is a predicted model, not a curated record.